This 29-nucleotide non-coding RNA is filed under the name Bombyx mori (domestic silkworm). The record is from RNAcentral. Lineage: Eukaryota; Metazoa; Arthropoda; Insecta; Lepidoptera; Bombycidae.
UUCCAGAGAGAUUGCAUACCCUCGAUUGU